This 479-nucleotide ribosomal RNA is filed under the name uncultured organism. RNAcentral's name for it is "partial 16S ribosomal RNA". It matches the Rfam family "Bacterial small subunit ribosomal RNA", at positions 331 to 801 of the family's 1533-position model. The record is from RNAcentral.
GUACACUCCUACGGGAGGCAGCAGUGGGGAAUUUUGGACAAUGGGCGAAAGCCUGAUCCAGCAAUGCCGCGUGAGUGAAGAAGGCCUUCGGGUUGUAAAGCUCUUUUGUCAGGGAAGAAACGGUGAAAGCUAAUAUCUUUUGCUAAUGACGGUACCUGAAGAAUAAGCACCGGCUAACUACGUGCCAGCAGCCGCGGUAAUACGUAGGGUGCAAGCGUUAAUCGGAAUUACUGGGCGUAAAGCGUGCGCAGGCGGUUUUGUAAGUCUGAUGUGAAAUCCCCGGGCUCAACCUGGGAAUUGCAUUGGAGACUGCAAGGCUAGAAUCUGGCAGAGGGGGGUAGAAUUCCACGUGUAGCAGUGAAAUGCGUAGAUAUGUGGAGGAACACCGAUGGCGAAGGCAGCCCCCUGGGUCAAGAUUGACGCUCAUGCACGAAAGCGUGGGGAGCAAACAGGAUUAGAUACCCCGGUAGUCCCAUGAU